GAUGAACGCUGGCGGCGUGCCUAACACAUGCAAGUCGAACGGAGAUUCCGGACGGAAGUUUUCGGAUGGAAGACUGUAAUUCUUAGUGGCGGACGGGUGAGUAACGCGUGGGCAACCUGCCCUAUACAGGGGGAUAGCAGCUGGAAACGGCUGGUAAGACCGCAUAAGUCGGCGAGACCGCAUGGUUUUGCCGGGAAAUGAGCAAUCAGGUAUAGGAUGGGCCCGCGUCCGAUUAGCCAGUUGGCAGGGUAAAAGCCUACCAAAGCAACGAUCGGUAGCCGGACUGAGAGGUCGGACGGCCACAUUGGGACUGAGACACGGCCCAAACUCCUACGGGAGGCAGCAGUGGGGGAUAUUGCACAAUGGAGGAAACUCUGAUGCAGCGACGCCGCGUGAGUGAAGAAGUAUUUCGGUAUGUAAAGCUCUAUCAGCAGGGAAGAUGAUGACGGGACCUGACUAAGAAGCCCCGGCGAACUACGU
Molecule: ribosomal RNA, 480 nt
Filed under: uncultured bacterium
Lineage: Bacteria
Description: partial 16S ribosomal RNA
Rfam family: Bacterial small subunit ribosomal RNA
Source: RNAcentral